CCUACGGGGGGCUGCAGUGGGGAAUAUUGGACAAUGGGGGCAACCCUGAUCCAGCCAUGCCGCGUGUGUGAAGAAGGCCCUCGGGUUGUAAAGCACUUUCAGUGAGGAAGAACGCCUGGUGGUUAAUACCCAUCAGGAAAGACAUCACUCACAGAAGAAGCACCGGCUAACUCCAUGCCAGCAGCCGCGGUAAUACGGAGGGUGCGAGCGUUAAUCGGAAUUACUGGGCGUAAAGCGCGCGUAGGUGGCUUGAUAAGCCGGUUGUGAAAGCCCCGGGCUCAACCUGGGAACGGCAUCCGGAACUGUCAAGCUAGAGUGCAGGAGAGGAAGGUAGAAUUCCCGGUGUAGCGGUGAAAUGCGUAGAGAUCGGGAGGAAUACCAGUGGCGAAGGCGGCCUUCUGGACUGACACUGACACUGAGGUGCGAAAGCGUGGGUAGCAAACAGGAUUAGAUACCCUGGUAGUC
Molecule: ribosomal RNA, 465 nt
Filed under: Vreelandella stevensii
Lineage: Bacteria; Pseudomonadati; Pseudomonadota; Gammaproteobacteria; Oceanospirillales; Halomonadaceae
Description: partial 16S ribosomal RNA
Rfam family: Bacterial small subunit ribosomal RNA
Source: RNAcentral